UUUUUUUCACAUAAAUAAAGCCGUUAGUUUUCUCGUUUGAAUUGUUUUACAUUGUCAUUUCGAGGACUAUGCGGAAUGGGAUUUGCUCAUUGUUGAAGGCCGUACGGUGACCUAUAGUUGUUAGUUUCUGUGUCAUUCUGGUCUCUUGUGGAGAGGUGUCUUAUCGACAAUCAUACGACAUCUUAAUAUAUAUAUAUAUAUAUUUUUUAUAUUCACACAUCUGUGUCAUCUCUACUAUCGUUCACUAAAAUAUCGUCAUUUGAGCUUGAUGGACCAGGAAUAGGUUGUAAUUCAGGUUGGUUUGGUCGUUCCGACAUCUUUUCUGGAUCAUUACGGUACUUUUAAUAUUACUGCAUAGUAUAACAUAUUUAACUUAUUCAUGUCAUUUAUAUUGUAUAUGUCUGCUUCAAUGUAAUGAUUUGCUUUCUGUAGCUCUUGUGGAUGUAGUAUGAACAUGGAAACUUUUAAUUAUCAGGAACAUUAUUCUUAUGCGAGUCUUAUCGACUUAAAAAUUUACUUGACAUGGUGCAUCUCUUGAACCAUCAUGAUGUGAUGUCAGUGUAAACUCUACGUCAUUUGGUAUCUGGUGGAGAGUUGUUUUAUUGGCAAUACUACCACAUCUCCUUAUUUCCUUAAGUUAUAGAAUUGUAUAACUAUCACUUUAGCUGGUAUUCCAUUUACACAUGUAGCACAGGCAUAAUUUUCGAAAAGAACAAUGCAUCAAUAGAAAUC
Molecule: long non-coding RNA, 732 nt
Filed under: Mytilus galloprovincialis (Mediterranean mussel)
Lineage: Eukaryota; Metazoa; Mollusca; Bivalvia; Mytilida; Mytilidae
Source: RNAcentral